AUUGAACGCUGGCGGCAGGCCUAACACAUGCAAGUCGAACGGUAGCACAGAGGAGCUUGCUCCUUGGGUGACGAGUGGCGGACGGGUGAGUAAUGUCUGGGAAACUGCCUGAUGGAGGGGGAUAACUACUGGAAACGGUAGCUAAUACCGCAUAAUGUCGCAAGACCAAAGCGGGGGACCUUCGGGCCUCGCACCAUCGGAUGUGCCCAGAUGGGAUUAGCUUGUAGGUGAGGUAAUGGCUCACCUAGGCGACGAUCCCUAGCUGGUCUGAGAGGAUGACCAGCCACACUGGAACUGAGACACGGUCCAGACUCCUACGGGAGGCAGCAGUGGGGAAUAUUGCACAAUGGGCGCAAGCCUGAUGCAGCCAUGCCGCGUGUAUGAAGAAGGCCUUCGGGUUGUAAAGUACUUUCAGCGGGGAGGAAGGCAGUCGUGUUAAUAGCACGGCUGAUUGACGUUACCCGCAGAAGAAGCACCGGCUAACUCCGUGC
RNAcentral lists this ribosomal RNA (491 nucleotides) under uncultured bacterium. RNAcentral describes it as "bacterial SSU rRNA". It matches the Rfam family "Bacterial small subunit ribosomal RNA", at positions 30 to 508 of the family's 1533-position model. The record is from RNAcentral.